This 6325-nucleotide long non-coding RNA is filed under the name Xyrichtys novacula (pearly razorfish). Lineage: Eukaryota; Metazoa; Chordata; Actinopteri; Labriformes; Labridae. The record is from RNAcentral.
GAUGUUUUAUUACGUUUAUUAUUAUGUUUUAUUACCUUUAAAUGUUCCGUUAGCUCCUGAAAUCCAACACUUAUUUCUCUAAUGUUUGUGGUCGACCUCCUUCUCCGUUUGAAACAUUUGUUACAGGACGGUUUUACGACUUUACUAUCAGGUUACAACAUCUUAUCCUCCAGAGAAUAUUAUCUUAUGUGCACAUGACAUUAACUUUUCACUUAAUAUAACCUUUUAAUGACAGUCACUUGCAGAAAUGAUGAUGUUGUUCACACAUUAUAAUUAUUAAAAUGACUCCAGCACUCAGGAGAAGUUGAGAAGUUUGUCCCACUAGUUUUUUGCUCAUGCACAAAAGAAAUCUUGUUUUAGGAGAUGAUUAUUUCACAUGCUCUGACACUCUUCUUAAAUGAGAUCAGAUUAAAGUAAACCUGUUUUUUUUAGGGUAUUUUUCUGUAUUUCUGACCCUCAGGCUCCCACACUGGCUGCUAAUGCUUCCCAGGCGUCUUUAUGCUCCAACAAGCAGGAAUGAACAGUUCAAGGUGUUUGGCCGGUAAAGUGGUCUGUCUUCCCCUCUGACAUCGCCGCUCUCGGUGAUUUAGACCCGGUGAUCGCUGCGAGCCUCUUUGAAAGCUGCUACUGGGGAGCAGAUGCUGCUCAGGACUCAGGGCUGACGUUCACUCUGGACGCUCCGACCUCCUUUUCUUCAUCGGAGUCUUUAAGCUCCUGCAGCGAGAGAUCCCGUGCAGGCCCUCCUGUACCUGCCUCCUGUGAGACUCCCACACACAUGAUCUGAAUACAAGGGGAAGAAGAAGCUUGUAGAGGCUCCCAGCGGACACAUUUCCUCCCUUCCUGUGUGUUCGUCGACCACACAGAGAAGCAGACUCCAGGGACGGCGUGCAGGCCCGGCGGUGCAGGCUGUAGUCGUCUUCUUCACACCUUUAAAUCACAUUCUCUCUGCCUGCUCUCUGCAAAAUUAGAAGCAGAACUUUUGUCUGAGAGGGAGACAGAUGGGGAUGUGAAAGAUGGAGGGAUGGAGGAGGAGGAGGAGGAGGAGGAGGAGGGAGUGGAAGAUGACUGAUAAGCUGCUGAAGAGCACUUUCUAGUGGCAUGUCGGAGGACUAGCAAGCUGAGACGCUCGCUCCUCUGCUGGACCUCAAAACAAACAAGCCAUCUCCAGAAAGUCGAGCAGCUCUGAGGACCGAAAGGUAAAUAUUCUGGAGAGACCGUGCCGGGAAAAUCUGAGCUGAGACAGACCGCAGCGCCGCUUCUUCACCUUCGUUCAGUGCUGUUUAUGUCUGACUUUUAUGGAUGAAAAGAGAUUUUAAUCUGCAGUUUGUUUUUAUCUGAUAUUUAACUAGAUGUCUCUGGAAAUCUGGUUUUAAAAUUCAAGUCUAAUAUUGAGCGUCAUACAAAUCUGAGGUCAGUUAACAGACACACAACUCUCACAGGCUUGAUGCAAACAACAAUCAGCUGCAGCGUGGAUGUUUACGUGGUCGAUCCAAAGAAAUAACUGCGUCAUAUUUUUCUGCUGAUGUGUGCAGGCUGACUGUAUAGAUAUUAGUGAGAUAGAUGCACUUUAGUAAAUGUUUUCUCUGCACAAAGACUCUAAAAGUGAUUCUAGUGUGACCGGACGGCUGAGUUUGUCUGCAGUUGUAAUUAUUUGGACUCUCAGGUGUUCGUACUGUUAAAAACAGAAUAUACACUCAGACUGGUGAAGUGGAUUAAAGGUGGAUUUGCUAAACUCAGAGUUCACACAGCAGAGAGAGUCACCGCUGUGUCUUUAAUUAUAUUUAAAUAACCUUUGAAUAAAAAAGACAAAUUUAUGAUGUUAGAUUUUUCUGCCUGAACUGAACCGUUUGAGGGUGAAAUCAACUCCUUUUUUAAGCUAGAGAGGUCACUGACGACCUCUUUUAAAAUUUAGGAUUUAUUCUAGAUGACAAUUGUUCUCCCUUUAUUCGUAUUUGCAGAGUGAACUUGGUUAGAGUGGGAUGAGGCCUGCACAAAAGGAGAAACAUGUGUGAUAGACAACAACAAUUAAAAAAGCAUAACUCUGUCAGACUGAUUAAAAACAGCAGAACAACAGAGCUCCUGUUUUCAUGAGCGCUGACAGAAUUAACCGCAAACUUCUCAAUAAAUAUCCAACAAGAUUAAAACGCAAGAUUACAGAGUUAAAGUUCAAUAUUUUAAUCUGGUCAAAGCUCAUAUUUAAUCUAUCCUGUGAAGAUGAGCCCAAACUGCAGAUGAGUGUUUCUUUAACUGAACAUUCGACCUGCAGACCUCUCCUCAACACUGACUGUGAUUACGUGGACGACGCUCGCUGCUGUCGAUCCUGCUCCAUAAUGCAUCAGUUUGUGCGGCGCUCUGCUCUGAGAGGAGCCCCGAGGUGCAGAGAGAAGAUAAAUUAUCAAUCUCUCACUUGUUCUUCAGCUCGGCGAGAGGCCGCAUAGUGAAGCAGCUAUGUCAUCCUCAGAGCUCAGCCUGUGAAAUCCUGAUUCAGAGCACCAGUGUGCAGACCGGACCUAAGAAACCGGCGUCCAGGUGGUCGAGGGUCGAUCUGCUGAAGGGUCCAAAAAAACAAAACAACAGGAUUUUAUCGUGUUUUUGGUGUUAAAACUCAAAUCUCUGCGAUUUAACUAACUUUGAGUCUGACAAUCUCAUUUCAUGAACACAAAUAAAACAUCUUAUCUUGACAUUCAUGAAGAGAAAAUCCUGUUCGCUCCAUUUGCAGAUAUUUUUAAAGUCAUUAGAGCUGAAAUUUAGUUUUACUUUAACAUUAUUUCUGGACCUUUCUGGUGAACGUGUCUGAUACUGAGUGUAAACAGACCAAGUGUGUGUUUGUAGAAAUAACUUAAAGUGGUUUCAUGUCUGCUGUUUGAGUUUGUACAUUUUUUAAACUCAGGGUUUAUCGUGUAAAAAUCUGACUAAUGCUGCAGUCGUGUUUCUGUGUUCAGUAUUUUGACUUUAAAUCCUCUUUUAGACAAAAAAACUGAUUAUUUCUGAGCUUUAACUUCUUUCAGGGAAAUCUGAGAAAAAUAUUUGACUUUAUUUUAAAUUUCUGAUUUUCAGAAUUUAGAGGCUUCUGUCCUUUUAGACUAAAGUCAACAGGGAAAAAGAAAAAGACAUCAGAAUUUCAAAAUCAGUAUUUUUAAUAACUUUAAAUUCUCUUUAAAACUCUGAGAUUCAGGAAAAUGAUGUUUUUCUUUCUCUGAAUUUUAACUUUGAUUUCAGAUUUCUGCUUUUACUCCCAGAACUAAAAUCUGUGAGUUCUGACUAAAAUGAGAGAAUUUUGAGGAAUAAUCUCCGAGUUUUAAGAAUUAAGACUGUGACGACAAACUGGGAAAAGAAGUUCGAGGUUAGACUUCAGUGUUUUUCACUUUUUUGAGUCAGAAUUACUGACUUAGAAUUUUAACUUUUCUGGAAUUUUAAGAUUUAAAUCAAACUUUUAUUUUCUGUUAAAAAUGAAGUUUUUUAAAUUUAGUUUUCUCCCUUUACUCACAAAAUUUCCCAAUAAAACCAUCUAAUGCUCACCAACUCUAUUUUCUUUGAAUUUUAAUUAAGGUUAAAUUUUUAUCUUGUUUUUAUAAAUUUUUAAGAUUAAAGUUGGAUUAAAAACUGUUUCUGUGAACUCUGACUUAAAUCUCAGCGCUCCACCUUUAAUCCCAGAAUUCUAAAUGACAUCACUGAAUUCUGACUUUAUUUUUGAAAUUUAAAGAAAAAGGUUUUAUUUUGGAAAAUAAAAAAGAAAACUUCUAAAAAGAAAAGAAAAAACAUCAGCGUCACUGGAGAUAAAAUAAGGACCGAGUUUUGACUUUUUUUCUUCGUCUUUUUACUUCUUUUCAGAUUUUGGAGAAUUAAAUCAAAAUUCAGAAACAAACUUUAAACUCUGAGAAAAAGUCUGGAAUAAAAUAUCACUUUAAAACUGAUGUUGAUAAAGUUAAAAAAAGAAGUUUCUUAUAUUUUUGUAUUACAGUGAAGUUUAAGUCAGAAUUUUAAAAGAAGUGAGUAAAUAAGUUAAUACUUUCAGUGUCCCUCAGCGAUUCUUAAAAACUGUUCAAAGUUCCUCCUAAACACCAAACUGUCUCUCUCUGAACUUUUCCUGACUCUUUGGUAAAUGUCGAGCUCGUACUUGUAAAGUUAAAAGAGAAAAAUUUCCUGUUUCUUUAUUCACAGUUAAGAUAAAAUAAGCAGCAUGUCGGUAAACAGUUAAAAUUAUGACUUUAUGCUCCUCAUUACAGAAAAAAAAGUUAGUUUUGUUUUAGAUUUUGUGUUUCUGAAUAAAUCAAUGUAAAAGGAAACUUCUUGUCUUCAUGUGUCGCUGUUAUUUGUUGUUUUGCGUAAAUUUAAGUCAAACUUCUUUUACAUUUAAAGAAAUCUCUAAUCUGUUCAACAACACGGCACAAAGAAAAAACGAAGCGGAUAUUUUCUGUUAUUUCAGAGUCUGAUUCUGCUUUAUUAUCGAGUCCCUCUUUGAAUCCAAUAUUUCUGAUGUGUUAUUUUGAGCGUUUCCUCUUUUUAAUCCCUGUCUUAUUCUCUCCGACGCUGAAUUGACUCCAGUGGAGCGUGCACGCUGAACUGUUGGUGCCCUGUGGAGAAAAAAGCCAAACCACAAUAAACACCAUAAUGAAGAUCCUUCCCACUUCCCAGAAAUGACGGAUUCAACAUGGCCGCCUGUCUGCUGUAAAUUUAGAUCUGGAAUAAAAGUGUUUAUGCUUCAGAGAAAUCAAACACAGACAGACAGACGUGGAGGAUGAACUUUGCUCCCCGAGGACCAAGAGUUCAUCUUUGUUUCUCUGAAGCGACUUCUGCACCGUCAAAAGCUCAUUAACACGGCCUCGUGUCAGAUAACCUUAUAGCUCCUGCUACAAAUCAAUCAGAGCUGAUCAAUAAAGCAUCAAUGUCACCUUCACAAAUACUGACGGACGGAUCAGCUGAUGGAGGAAAAACCGGCCCUGAUGAAAGAGAGAGGAGUGGAGGGUUAUUUCUGACGAUAAUGAGAAGAAAGAGAAAAGUGAGGAGGCGAUUAAGAGAGAGGACUGGUGUUUCAUUAAGAUGAGAGAUUCUCACACUUCUUUACGGCGUCUUUAUAACCCUGAUGAACAAAGCUAAUUAUCUGUCAGGAGCUGCAGCUUGGUGGCUAAAUAUUGUCUCCAUUACAUCAGAGUCAUCGUACCCGCAGAGAGAUCAGAGACACAAAGAUAUUUAAUUAUAUCUCACUCUGCAAUUAACACGAUCGCACGUAAAGAUCCAUCAUGGCUGACGUUCAUUCUUCUUAUUUGUUGGGUUUUAACAAACACAACCUACACGUGAAGAUGCUUAAAUGUGCACUUUUUUAAUUUAAAGCUCUUUUUUUUAACUUCAGUGAUUGUUGGAUAAAGACCUUACAGUACGCAGUAUUUGAUAUCCCUCCAUGCUCUGAGCUCCCUCAUACAGCGACCUUUAGUGUGAGUGUGAUGUUUCUGCACAGGCUGUGUAAAUAGUAACACACCUGUCUGAACCAUGACGAAACACACCUGUGGAUUACUGUGGAACUUAAAGCUCCUGUGGGAGUUUUAGUGGGUUACAUAACAGACUUACGUCACUGCUUGGUGCAUUUUUCUAACCCGUGGAAUUAAAGUAUAUUUAGUGUUUUUAAAGGGAUAUUCUGGCAUAAAACUAAUUUAGGGUCAAACACACAGUAACACCGAGUUAGACACCCCCUCCAGAGAUGAAUGUUGCCAUGUGUUUAUCUGGUACUGGCCCAGACUCAGUCCAUGCUAUUAUGACAGACAGACAUCUAAACACUAGAGUCGAAUCAGAACUGAAAACACUCAGUCUGCUGUUGGGUCAGUCUUCUCACUUCCACCCGGGACGCGUCUUUUUUCCUCUGAAUAUUUCAUAAUUUCGCGUCGUAUAUUUUUGUCGUUCCGGGUGUUUAAGGACCUUUAGCGUCUUAGUCUGAUUGUAUUUACAUGAAGAAAUGAUCAUAAAUGUUCUUCCUUGAGCUGCGGCACCCCGCUUUAGUCUGUAAUGGACUGGCCUGAGGUCUCUCUACAAACAAGCGUCUGCUGGAAGAGAGUAGGUGAGUUGUGUUUAGUCUCUUUGCUAAAGAAAUGAGUCAAAGUUAAAAAGAUGUUUGGUGUCUAGUACUAUGUCUGUGACCCUAUAUGUCCUGUUGAUGAAGUUAGGUGCUGUUCUGAGCAUUAUUUGUGGCUAUAGAGUGGCGUUUUGGUUGGGGGCGUGGCUCUCUGUAUUGCUAUCCUGCGGUUGUUACUAAAGUUGGUUCUGUAACAGACUUACAUCACUGCUUAGUGUAUUUUUCUAACCUGUGAAAUUAAAGUAUGUUUAGCAAUUUUAA